Molecule: unclassified non-coding RNA, 234 nt
Filed under: plant metagenome
Description: partial contains small subunit ribosomal RNA, internal transcribed spacer 1, and 5.8S ribosomal RNA
Source: RNAcentral
UUUCCGUAGGUGAACCUGCGGAAGGAUCAUUACAGUAGUCGCCCGGGUUGCCGCAAGGCCUCCCGGGUAACCUACCACCCUUUGUUUAUUACACUUUGUUGCUUUGGCAGGCCUGCCCUCGGGCUGCUGGCUCCGGCCGGCGAGCGCUUGCCAGAGGACCUAAACUCUGUUUGUCUAUACUGUCUGAGUACUAUAUAAUAGUUAAAACUCUCAACAACGGAUCUCUUGGUUCUG